GCCAGAUAGCUCAGUUGGUUAGAGCAUCAUCCUGAUAUGCUAAGGUUAUGGGUUUGAUUCCCAAUCAGGGCG
RNAcentral lists this transfer RNA (72 nucleotides) under Myotis myotis. It matches the Rfam family "tRNA". Rfam says of the family: Transfer RNA (tRNA) molecules are approximately 80 nucleotides in length. Their secondary structure includes four short double-helical elements and three loops (D, anti-codon, and T loops). Lineage: Eukaryota; Metazoa; Chordata; Mammalia; Chiroptera; Vespertilionidae. RNAcentral also lists the same sequence under 1 other name. The record is from Rfam by way of RNAcentral.